RNAcentral lists this long non-coding RNA (699 nucleotides) under Physcomitrium patens. Its description in RNAcentral is "long non-coding RNA (PPAT_LNC005043)". Lineage: Eukaryota; Viridiplantae; Streptophyta; Bryopsida; Funariales; Funariaceae. The record is from RNAcentral.
UCCACACGAGGGUGGAUCGAUCCUCUUCGCUCAACUUGGAGACCUCGACUCCGACCCGAUCGAUCCAGUCGCGCGACGCAAGGCAAGUUACGAAUCUCCCAGUCCUGCUCGCAACAUUGUAGAAUGAGCUGCAAGCUUGUUACCUGCUGGCUGCUUCGUCAACAACUCAUUCUAGCCACAAUGAUUUUGAUUGUAUGACUUGAAAAAUGGGGAUUUGGGAAUAGGACUGCUGCUCCUUUUGCGUUGCGGGAGGUGGGGAGUCAACGGCUUCGUAACGGGAUUCACGUUACGGCGCGUCAUUCAUCCCCAGCUGGGGCGAGCUCCAGCAGGGGCAGCGAGCCGCGUCGUGUGAACGCCGCCCCUGGUGGGAUCAGAUUUUCAAGCCCCCCUUUUCGUAUGUUGUGUGUGGGUGUCUGCAAUAUUGGUAAGAGUUUUUUGCUUCCAUUAAUGUGCAUCCAGCAGAGCAGCAUCCUGUGCUUAGCCGCCAGUUUUAUUCUGACCUAGAAGAAGUUUAGGUGUUCUUCGUUUUAGAUUCAUGCGUUAAUGGCAAUCCGGUGCUUUUCCUGCACGAUGAGCAGGGCAGUAAGUAAGUGUGCCAAAUCAGCAUUAUUUCAAUGCUCUGAUUAUCGGUUCUAUGUUCGGAUCCUUUUUCGGGGAGAAAAAAAAACUAAAUCUGGAAGUUAAUGAUGGGCGGUUUUG